This 19-nucleotide unclassified non-coding RNA is filed under the name Mus musculus (house mouse). Its description in RNAcentral is "oocyte_clustered_small_RNA8604". The record is from RNAcentral. Lineage: Eukaryota; Metazoa; Chordata; Mammalia; Rodentia; Muridae.
GAGGAAAUGUUUAUUUGGG